Caretta caretta (loggerhead turtle) is the source of this 521-nucleotide long non-coding RNA. RefSeq lists it as uncharacterized. Lineage: Eukaryota; Metazoa; Chordata; Testudines; Cheloniidae. The record is from RefSeq and is a predicted model, not a curated record.
GGGCGGUGCCUGUUGAGGCGCCCGAACUAUAAAUGUUGGUGGGCGGCGACGCUCCGCCUUUCGCUCUGCCUAGAGGGGUCGGGGUAACGCUGGAGGCACGACGGGAGCCGCCGGCCUGGGACCUAUGCCCUGGAGACCUGCUGGCCCAUUGCCAGCUGAUUGGCUCGGUGUAAAGGGUGAGGAGAACGGUUAAUAAAACAGUAGAAAAAAUUGUCUGUUUCUUUAUUGUGCUCUCCAGCACUGUCUUUGAACUGGUGAAGUGGCCAACUCAUAGCUUCACUGGCUAAGCAACAGUGCAACAGGAAAAGCUUGUUCAUAACUGGUGCUGCUUAGUUAAAAUCUGAGUGGCUCUUUUAAGAGCAAGUAACAAUCCUGUUACUGUACUGCUUAAAUCUUAAAGACUAUAAUUAAAUUCCCCCUUUGCUGAAUGAAAUUUCCUCUUCCUAGAGGCCUCCUACUGUUGGCAGUGAGGACACUGGAAAGACAAACACCUGUCUCAUUAAAGUUAAGAUCUCUCCUUG